RNAcentral lists this ribosomal RNA (401 nucleotides) under uncultured bacterium. RNAcentral describes it as "bacterial SSU rRNA". It matches the Rfam family "Bacterial small subunit ribosomal RNA", at positions 358 to 776 of the family's 1533-position model. The record is from RNAcentral.
GGAAUAUUGCGCAAUGGAGGAAACUCUGACGCAGUGACGCCGCGUAUAGGAAGAAGGUUUUCGGAUUGUAAACUAUUGUCGUGAGGGAAGAAAUUGACAGUACCUCAGGAGGAAGCUCCGGCUAACUAUGUGCCAGCAGCCGCGGUAAUACAUAGGGAGCAAGCGUUAUCCGGAAUUAUUGGGUGUAAAGGGUGCGUAGACGGGACAGCAAGUUAGUUGUGAAAGCCCUCGGCUUAACUGAGGAACUGCAACUAAAACUAUUGUUCUUGAGUGCAGGAGAGGAAAGCGGAAUUCCUAGUGUAGCGGUGAAAUGCGUAGAUAUUAGGAGGAACACCAGUGGCGAAGGCGGCCUGCUGGACUGUAACUGACGUUGAGGCUCGAAGGCGUGGGGAGCAAACAGG